UUCAAGUUGCCGUGUUGUAAUGGAGGCUGUGUUUGCCCUGUUUGCUGCGAGGUUUACCGAAUGCUUUAGGCAUUAGCUCCGUGUACUUCAGGUAGGCUGGCAACUCUCUCACUACAUGCAAACAUGCUAGCUACUAUGGAUGGUGGUCAACCUGGUGUGAUGUAGCCUAAUGUUUUUACCACAUGGCGACAGACUCCUCAGCUUUUGACGUGACUGUGGACGAGUGUUGAGCAGCGAGGCUACAAUUCAACAGCUCUCGGUGUCUUUCCUACUGUAUGAACAUACAGAUAAAAGAACAAGUCAGCAAGCAUCUCUGAGAGAAUUAUUUCACAAUAUCGUUGCAUUGAAGGAUAGUUUGACCGAGUUUCUGUUUCCAAAACAGAACUAAAGUCAGAAAUGUCUGGAUUCACUGAACCAUCACAACAGCUCAUGUCAGUGAAGAAGGAGAUAAAAGAAGAAGAAGAAUUUGAUGAUUUCCUACAAGAGUAUUUGUCUGAAAUUCAGACAGUGGAAGAAAAGCCUGGAAUGGAAUAUGAAAUCAAGACUGAAAUGUACACAUCACCAAACAUGACCCUGAAAGAAGAAAAGUAUUCACCAAUGGAAAUUACAGAUGAAGAAGAAUUUGAUUUAAGUGAAUAUGGUCACUAUGUCUCUUCUCCUACAAGAGACAUUCAAAGAAUCCAAUCUAACAAGAGAGGGAACACUAAG
Clupea harengus (Atlantic herring) is the source of this 708-nucleotide long non-coding RNA. RefSeq lists it as uncharacterized. The transcript has 4 exons. The record is from RefSeq and is a predicted model, not a curated record. Lineage: Eukaryota; Metazoa; Chordata; Actinopteri; Clupeiformes; Clupeidae.